RNAcentral lists this ribosomal RNA (402 nucleotides) under Verrucomicrobiota bacterium. RNAcentral's name for it is "Verrucomicrobia bacterium partial 16S ribosomal RNA". It matches the Rfam family "Bacterial small subunit ribosomal RNA", at positions 355 to 776 of the family's 1533-position model. Lineage: Bacteria; Pseudomonadati; Verrucomicrobiota. The record is from RNAcentral.
UGGGGAAUUUUGCACAAUGGGGGAAACCCUGAUGCAGCGACGCCGCGUGAUUUAGAAGGCCUUCGGGUUGUAAAAAUCUUUUUUAUGGGAUGAAAAUGACAGUACCAUAAGAAUAAGGUCCGGCUAAAUACGUGCCAGCAGCCGCGGUAAUACGUAUGGACCGAGCGUUGUCCGGAAUCAUUGGGCGUAAAGGGUACGUAGGCGGCCCAGUAAGUUAGAAGUGAAAUAAUAUAGCUCAACUAUAUAAAGCUUUUAAAACUGCUAGGCUUGAGAGAUGGAAGGGAAAGUGGAAUUCCUAGUGUAGCGGUGAAAUGCGCAGAUAUUAGGAGGAACACCGGUGGCGAAGGCGGCUUACUGGACGAAAACUGACGUUGAGGCUCGAAGGCGUGGGGAGCAAACAGG